This 278-nucleotide ribosomal RNA is filed under the name uncultured bacterium. Its description in RNAcentral is "partial 16S ribosomal RNA". It matches the Rfam family "Bacterial small subunit ribosomal RNA", at positions 506 to 784 of the family's 1533-position model. The record is from RNAcentral.
UGCCACCGCCGCGGUAAUACGGAUGGUGCGAGCGUUAAUCGGAAUUACUGGGCGUAAAGCGCGCGUAGGCGGUUUUGUAAGUCAGAUGUGAAAGCCCCGGGCUCAACCUGGGAACUGCAUUCGAUACUGGCCGACUAGAGUACGAGAGAGGGAGGUAGAAUUCCACGUGUAGCGGUGAAGUGCGUAGAUAUGUGGAGGAAUACCGGUGGCGAAGGCGGCCUCCUGGCUCGAUACUGACGCUGAGGUGCGAAAGCGUGGGGAGCAAACAGGAUUAGAUA